This is a non-coding RNA of Acanthosepion pharaonis, 100 nucleotides long. NCBI's taxonomy places the organism in Eukaryota, Metazoa, Mollusca, Cephalopoda, Sepiida, Sepiidae. The record is from the annotation of a GenBank genome assembly.
GCUUUGAAACCCCGGUUCUUGUACGAUCACCGAAGUUAAGCAACGUCGAGCUUGUUCAGUAACUAGAUGAGGGACCUCUCGGGAAUAGCAGGUGCUGUAA